GACGAACGCUGGCGGCGUGCUUAACACAUGCAAGUCGAGCGGUAAGGCCCCUUCGGGGGUACACGAGCGGCGAACGGGUGAGUAACACGUGGGUGACCUGCCCUCAGCUCUGGGAUAAGCCUGGGAAACUGGGUCCAAUACCGGAUAUGACUCCAUGACGCAUGUCGUGGGGUGGAAAGCCUUGUGCGGCUGGGGGAUGGGCCCGCGGCCUAUCAGCUUGUUGGUGGGGUAACGGCCUACCAAGGCGACGAUCCAUAGCUGGUCUGAGAGGACGAUCAGCCACACUGGGACUGAGACACGGCCCAGACUCCUACGGGAGGCAGCAGUGGGGAAUCUUGCGCAAUGGGCGAAAGCCUGACGCAGCGACGCCGCGUGGGGAAGAAGGCCUUAGGGUUGUAAACCUCUUUCAGCAGGGACGAAGCUACUCGGGUUAAUAGCCCAGAGGGUGACGGUACCUGCAGAAGAAGCCCGGCUAACUACGUGCCAGCAGCCGCCGCGGUAAC
RNAcentral lists this ribosomal RNA (503 nucleotides) under uncultured bacterium. RNAcentral describes it as "bacterial SSU rRNA". It matches the Rfam family "Bacterial small subunit ribosomal RNA", at positions 28 to 524 of the family's 1533-position model. The record is from RNAcentral.